AAACAUUCGGAGAUCGAGAAAGGGUUAACACGAUACAUCGAAGGAAUUAUUAAAGGAAUUGUUCUACAACAGUGAUGAGGAUGACAAAAGAGUUUACGUGGAAAAACAAGCCAAACCACAACAUGUUAAAAGGCAGAAACAGACCGGACCAAAGACAAAAGUUCGAAUUUAGCCGAGGCGAACGGACAUGAUGACAUCAUAUUCCUUGAUUUUUUAGAUCCACAUUUCGAAUCUUGAUGCUUCAGGGUAUAGCACAGUAUUUUCUAUUUUUUGAUAUCUUACAAGACUGAACACAGAC
Long non-coding RNA from Papaver somniferum (opium poppy), 298 nucleotides. RefSeq lists it as uncharacterized. Lineage: Eukaryota; Viridiplantae; Streptophyta; Magnoliopsida; Ranunculales; Papaveraceae. The record is from RefSeq and is a predicted model, not a curated record. The transcript is spliced from 3 exons.